UACGUAGGGUGCAAGCGUUGCCCGGAUUUAUUGGGCGUAAAGGGCGCGUAGGCGGCUCUGCACGUUCGUUGUGAAAUCGCCCGGCUCAACUGGGCGGGGUCAGCGGAUACGGCAGAGCUUGAGCAAGCUAGGGGGCAAUGGAAUUCCCGGUGUAGUGGUGGAAUGCGUAGAUAUCGGGAGGAACACCAGUGGCGAAGGCGGGUCUCUGGGCCGAUACUGACGCUGAGGUGCGAAAGCGUGGGGAGCAAACAGG
RNAcentral lists this ribosomal RNA (253 nucleotides) under uncultured bacterium. Its description in RNAcentral is "partial 16S ribosomal RNA". It matches the Rfam family "Bacterial small subunit ribosomal RNA", at positions 524 to 776 of the family's 1533-position model. The record is from RNAcentral.